This is a non-coding RNA of Ciona savignyi (Pacific transparent sea squirt), 119 nucleotides long. Lineage: Eukaryota; Metazoa; Chordata; Ascidiacea; Phlebobranchia; Cionidae. The record is from Rfam.
GCUUAUCACCAUUCCAGAUUGAAUAUACCCGAUCUCGUCUGAUCUCGGAAGUCAAGCAAUCUCGGGCUUGGUUAGUACUUAGAUGGGUGACCGCUUGGCAAUACCAAGUGUGAUAAGCA